This 460-nucleotide ribosomal RNA is filed under the name uncultured bacterium. RNAcentral's name for it is "partial 16S ribosomal RNA". It matches the Rfam family "Bacterial small subunit ribosomal RNA", at positions 338 to 795 of the family's 1533-position model. The record is from RNAcentral.
CCUACGGGUGGCAGCAGUGAGGAAUAUUGGUCAAUGGCCGCGAGCCUGAACCAGCCAAGUAGCGUGAAGGAUGACUGCCAUACGGGUUGUAAACUUCUUUUGUAAAGGAAUAAAGUGAGGCACGUGUGCCUUUUUGUAUGUACUUUAUGCAUAAGGAUCGGCUAACUCCGUGCCAGCAGCCGCGUUAAUACGGAGGAUCCGACCGUUAUCCGGAUUUAUUUGGUUUAAAGGGAGCGUAGAUGGGUUGUUACGUCAGGUGUUAAAGUUUGGGGCUCAACCGUAAAAGUGCAAUUGAUACUGGCAGUCUUGAGUACAGUAGAGGUAGGCGGAAUUCGUGGUGUAGCGGUGAAAUGCUUAGAUAUCACGAAGAACUCCGAUUGCGAAGGCAGCUUACUAAACUGCCACUGACAUUGAUGCUCGAAAGUGUGGGUAUCAAACAGGAUUAGAUACCCUUGUAGUC